CCCCCGCCACUAUAGAGGAGAAAAUUAAGUGUUACCCUUGUCCGUCUCAUCGCCCGACAGUCCGUACGCUGUAUAACUCUAGUUUUCCCCAACCAAUAGUAUAUAAAACUUAUAUGCAAUACUUUGCACCACAAAACACAGAAAAAAUUAAUCUGGGUUGUGUCAAUUUUUCCGUUCUAUCGUUAUGCCCCUUUAGAAAUGAAAAAAUAGCCGAAUUUUUUGUUUCCAUUUUCUAAGUUAUGUUUGCCUCAACAAAAUGUUAUGAAAAUUACAAAAUACUUAUAACCCCAAAACUCAGAUCAAGUUGAAAUAGCGGGUCAUCAUACAUUUAUGUGUCCCGUGGACUAAACUUGAAUUGUGGCGAAGAAAAUGAACAUGAAGCAACGACGCCGAGAAAUAUGUGUGAGGCUUCAGUUAGCUGACACGUCGAUUCUUGUUCGAGAGGCCUGAGAGACAGUUGCGGGAUGUUUUUUUUUUUUUUUCUUGUAGAAAAAAAAUGCCUUAAUUUGGCAAAAGGGUCUAAGAGAACUGAAAAUUGUA
This 540-nucleotide long non-coding RNA is filed under the name Mytilus galloprovincialis (Mediterranean mussel). Lineage: Eukaryota; Metazoa; Mollusca; Bivalvia; Mytilida; Mytilidae. The record is from RNAcentral.